Molecule: ribosomal RNA, 253 nt
Filed under: uncultured bacterium
Lineage: Bacteria
Description: partial 16S ribosomal RNA
Rfam family: Bacterial small subunit ribosomal RNA
Source: RNAcentral
AACGUAGGUGGCGAGCGUUGUCCGGAUUUAUUGGGCGUAAAGAGCUCGUAGGCGGCUAUUCACGUCGGAUGUGAAAGCUCAAGGCUCAACCUUGAGAGGCCAUUCGAUACGGGAUAGCUAGAGGUAGGUAGGGGAGAUCGGAAUUCCUGGUGUAGCGGUGAAAUGCGCAGAUAUCAGGAGGAACACCGGUGGCGAAGGCGGCUUCCUGGACAAAAACUGACGCUGAGGCGCGAAAGCUAGGGGAGCAAACAGG